AUUGAACGCUGGCGGCAGGCCUAACACAUGCAAGUCGAGCGAGCGGCGGACGGGUGAGUAAUGUAUGGGGACUUCCCGAUAGAGGGGGAUAAACACUGGAAAAGCUAGCUAAUACCGCAUACACUCGGAUAAACCAAAUGGGCUUAGCUAGUAGGUGUGGUAAUGGCUCACCUAGGCGACACUCCCUAGCUGGUCUGAGAGGAUGAUCAGCCACACUGGGACGGAGACACGGCCCAGACUCCUACGGAGGCAGCAGUUGGGAAUAUUGCACAAUGGGCGCAAGCCUGAUGCAGCCAUGCCGCGUGUAUGAAGAAGGCCCUAGGGUGGUAAAGUUCUUUCAUUCGGGAGGCGUUACCGACAGAAGAAGCACCGGCUAACUCCGUGCCAGCAGCCGCGGUAAUAC
Molecule: ribosomal RNA, 403 nt
Filed under: uncultured bacterium
Lineage: Bacteria
Description: partial 16S ribosomal RNA
Rfam family: Bacterial small subunit ribosomal RNA
Source: RNAcentral